GGCUGCUUGAAUGUCCUCGUCGGAGUCUCGAACCUCAAUUAUUUCAGACCCAAAAUGCUUCUGAAUUUUGUCCAUUCGCAUAAUUUCCUCUUCACCACACAGCAAGUUAAACACAGCUCCCUUGCGCCCAAAACGACCUGCUCGACCAAUUCUAUGAAGGUACACCUCAUAGUUAGGAUCAGCCGAUGAGGAAAAUCUGUAUUUUGUCGUUUGUGAAGAAGAUUCAUAUUUAAGAGGAAGAUCAUAAUUGAUAACUAGGUUGACCUGUUGCUGAUCAAAGCCUCGAGCUAGAAGGUCAGUCGAAAUAAGAACUUUGGUCAAACCGUCCUUGAACUCUUUUAUUAUUUUGUCUCUAAUUUCAUUGGUCAUUGCCCCUUGAAUGGUAGUCACAUCAUAACCAAGAUCAACUAGUGCCUUAUGUAACAUGCCAGCACUGUUUCUUGUGCGCACAAAUAUAAUUGUCUGACCCAAUUUGUCUGCAAGUUCGAAAAUUCUAUCUUUUAUGACCCGAAUUUUAGUUAAUUCAUCUGGACAUAUCAACUUGAAUUGCUU
This 552-nucleotide unclassified non-coding RNA is filed under the name Hevea brasiliensis (rubber tree). Lineage: Eukaryota; Viridiplantae; Streptophyta; Magnoliopsida; Malpighiales; Euphorbiaceae. The record is from RNAcentral.